GCCCUAGUAGCUUAGCUUAAAAGCAUCGGUCUUGUAAACCGAAGAUCGGAGGUUAGACCCCUCCCUAGCGCC
RNAcentral lists this transfer RNA (72 nucleotides) under Opsarius canarensis (Jerdon's baril). Its description in RNAcentral is "tRNA-Thr". It matches the Rfam family "tRNA". Rfam says of the family: Transfer RNA (tRNA) molecules are approximately 80 nucleotides in length. Their secondary structure includes four short double-helical elements and three loops (D, anti-codon, and T loops). Lineage: Eukaryota; Metazoa; Chordata; Actinopteri; Cypriniformes; Danionidae. RNAcentral also lists the same sequence under 1 other name. The record is from RNAcentral.